Molecule: long non-coding RNA, 334 nt
Organism: Haliotis rubra (blacklip abalone)
Lineage: Eukaryota; Metazoa; Mollusca; Gastropoda; Lepetellida; Haliotidae
Exons: 3
Source: RefSeq, a predicted model, not a curated record
GUGAAUUCUAUGCUGAGGAAUCCUAGCUGAAGCCUCCCCCUGCUACUCAGGAGUCUAUGGAUUUGCAUAUAUGGGUGGCACUGAGAUCCCAUGUCCCUUUGCAGUAUGUGUACAGCAACAGCUGUAUCCAGGGUCAUUCUAGACAGAUAUUUCCUUCUGACGGAUGGGGGCGAUCAAAUGCAGAUGAAGUUAUCUCCUAGUCAGAGCCUCAUGCUCAUGACAAGAGUGUUUAUAUCGUGGGGAUCGGCAGUGGGCCCACAUCGCUUGUCCUGAGGUGUCAUAGAGCAGGGGUGGUCAUGCAGAAUUUGUUGCAAGCAGUGCCAAGUUGCAAGAG